Molecule: long non-coding RNA, 147 nt
Organism: Neodiprion fabricii
Lineage: Eukaryota; Metazoa; Arthropoda; Insecta; Hymenoptera; Diprionidae
Exons: 3
Source: RefSeq, a predicted model, not a curated record
GGGCCCGGCCGAUACGUCGAUUUUGUAUAUUCACGUUUUUCAACUAUUAAAUUCUUCUUCUUCCUGACCGGAACUUCGACGAACCUUUCAUUUUCAAUCUACCUCCCGGUCACAAACUUCUUUCCUAAAUAUACCAAUAUUUUAAAU